CUCUCCCUCUUGUCCAUGUUUAGACAUGGAUGUCUCCUCUUCCCUUUUAUCCAAAAGUUGGACAAAAUUUCUACAUCUCUAUUGUAGAGAUAUGGUGCAUGAAUUUUAGAAAAAAAAGAGAAGAAAAGGGUUCUUCUCAUGAUCUCUCGCAUAGAGAUCAAGGUCCUCCUAUAUCUUCUUUUCUCUAAGAGUGUCUUAGGAUAAAAGAAGAUUUUUAACCGUCAAGAUGCGAUCUCUGCAAGGGAGCUAGCAUCCUAAUGAGAUCAAAAGGCUUCUGAUCAUAUCAGAGUCUCGUAUGGAUAUCCAUAGAAAUCGAAUGCUUGUGCGGCU
Molecule: long non-coding RNA, 330 nt
Filed under: Elaeis guineensis (African oil palm)
Lineage: Eukaryota; Viridiplantae; Streptophyta; Magnoliopsida; Arecales; Arecaceae
Description: long non-coding RNA (EGUI_LNC068976)
Source: RNAcentral